UACGUAGGGUGCGAGCGUUGCCCGGAUUUAUUGGGCGUAAAGGGCGCGUAGGCGGCUCGGCACGUCCGUUGUGAAAUCGCCCGGCUCAACUGGGCGGGGUCAGCGGAUACGGUCGAGCUCGAGCAAGCUAGGGGGCAAUGGAAUUCCCGGUGUAGUGGUGGAAUGCGUAGAUAUCUGGAGGAACACCGGUGGCGAAGGCGGCAUCCUGGACCGGUAUUGACGCUGAUGCGCGAAAGCCAGGGGAGCAAACGGG
This 253-nucleotide ribosomal RNA is filed under the name uncultured prokaryote. RNAcentral describes it as "partial 16S ribosomal RNA". It matches the Rfam family "Bacterial small subunit ribosomal RNA", at positions 524 to 776 of the family's 1533-position model. The record is from RNAcentral.